AUAAUUCGCAAAUAAUUAUUUUUAUUCAAAAAAUUAUAUAUUUUUUUUUCAAAUUUUUUCAAAAAAAUACGAAAACGUCUAUUUAAUUUGAUUUUUUAAAAAUUCACGAAUAAUUCGCGAAUAAUUUACGAAUAAACUAACUAUACUCUUGAGCCCAAAUUUUUUUUUGCAUUUAACCUCCUUAAAAUCUUUUUAUUUUAUAAAUGAACCAAUUAAAAUUAUAAAAGUAGAGACGAUCUUGUAUUUGCACACGUAGGCACACGUUGUAUUUAGAAUAGCUUAUUAUGUUAUUAACUAAACACGGAAAAAAAAUUACCGUGUUCAUUUGAAAUAUUUCGCAUGAUGCCUAUGUCUACAUGCGGAGUCAUUUCUACAUUCAUAAUUUUGACAAGAUUAUUUAUAAAAUAAAAUUUCUAAAUGCAAACAAAGCCCUCUCCGGUAUCAUAGUUAGUUAAUUCGGAUUCGGCAAAAAUUCAGUAUAGAUAUAAUAUGAAUAAAAUUUGUCAAUUAUUCGAAUAUGCAAUUUAUACGAAAGUUAUUAGUUUACCGUUAAAAAAUUCGGUGUAAAAAACUAGGCAAUUAAAUUAAACUUUUU
This 595-nucleotide long non-coding RNA is filed under the name Ananas comosus (pineapple). RNAcentral describes it as "long non-coding RNA (ACOM_LNC030544)". The record is from RNAcentral. Lineage: Eukaryota; Viridiplantae; Streptophyta; Magnoliopsida; Poales; Bromeliaceae.